GCCCCUGUGGUGAAAUGGAUAUCAUUACUGCCUUCGAAGCAGUCGUUCUCCGUUCGAAUCGGAGCAGGGGCA
Molecule: transfer RNA, 72 nt
Filed under: Candidatus Giovannonibacteria bacterium RIFCSPHIGHO2_01_FULL_43_100
Lineage: Bacteria; Candidatus Giovannoniibacteriota
Also listed under: 5 other names
Description: tRNA-Arg
Rfam family: tRNA
About the family: Transfer RNA (tRNA) molecules are approximately 80 nucleotides in length. Their secondary structure includes four short double-helical elements and three loops (D, anti-codon, and T loops). Further hydrogen bonds mediate the characteristic L-shaped molecular structure. tRNAs have two regions of fundamental functional importance: the anti-codon, which is responsible for specific mRNA codon recognition, and the 3' end, to which the tRNAs corresponding amino acid is attached (by aminoacyl-tRNA synthetases). tRNAs cope with the degeneracy of the genetic code in two manners: having more than one tRNA (with a specific anti-codon) for a particular amino acid; and 'wobble' base-pairing, i.e. permitting non-standard base-pairing at the 3rd anti-codon position.
Source: RNAcentral